GAUGAACGCUGGCGGCGUGCCUAAUACAUGCAAGUCGAGCGAACGGACGAGAAGCUUGCUUCUCUGAUUUUAGCGGCGGACGGGUGAGUAACACGUGGAUAACCUACCUAUAAGACUGGGAUAACUUCGGGAAACCGGCGCUAAUACCGGAUAAUAUUUUGAACCGCAUGGUUCAAAAGUGAAAGACGUUCUUGCUGUCACUUAUAGAUGGAUCCGCGCUUCAUUAGCUAGUUGGUAAGGUCACGGCUUACCAAGGCAACGAUGCAUAGCCGACCUGAGAGGGUGAUCGGCCACACUGGAACUGAGAAACGGUCCCGACCCCUACGGGAGGCAGCAGUAGCGAAUCUUCCGACAUGGGCGAAAGCCUGACGGAGGAAUGCAGGGUGAGUGAUGGAGGUCUUGGGGACGGAAAACCCUGUUAGUAGGGAAGAACAGAUGUGAAAGUAACUGUGCACUUCUUGACGGUACCUAAUCAGAAAGCCACCGCUAACUACGUG
This 497-nucleotide ribosomal RNA is filed under the name uncultured bacterium. RNAcentral describes it as "partial 16S ribosomal RNA". It matches the Rfam family "Bacterial small subunit ribosomal RNA", at positions 28 to 507 of the family's 1533-position model. The record is from RNAcentral.